AGGAAGUAAAAGUCGUAACAAGGGUCUCCGUUGGUGAACCAGCGGAGGGAUCAUUUACCGAGUUUACAACUCCCAAACCCCUGUGAACAUACCUAUACGUUGCCUCGGCGGAUCAGCCCGCGCCCUGUAAAAAGGGACGGCCCGCCCGAGGACCCUAAACUCUGUUUUUAGUGGAACUUCUGAGUAAAACAAACAAAUAAAUCAAAACUUUCAACAACGGAUCUCUUGGUUCUGGCAUCGAUGAAGAACGCAGCAAAAUGCGAUAAGUAAUGUGAAUUGCAGAAUUCAGUGAAUCAUCGAAUCUUUGAACGCACAUUGCGCCCGCCAGUAUUCUGGCGGGCAUGCCUGUUCGAGCGUCAUUUCAACCCUCAAGCUCAGCUUGGUGUUGGGACUCGCGGUAACCCGCGUUCCCCAAAUCGAUUGGCGGUCACGUCGAGCUUCCAUAGCGUAGUAAUCAUACACCUCGUUACUGGUAAUCGUCGCGGCCACGCCGUAAAACCCCAACUUCUGAAUGUUGACCUCGGAUCAGGGUAGGAAUACCCGCUGAACU
This 550-nucleotide ribosomal RNA is filed under the name Fusarium equiseti. RNAcentral's name for it is "eukaryotic LSU rRNA". The stretch from base 206 to 359 matches the Rfam family "5.8S ribosomal RNA". Lineage: Eukaryota; Fungi; Ascomycota; Sordariomycetes; Hypocreales; Nectriaceae. The record is from RNAcentral.